UACGAAGGGGGGCUAGCGUUGUUCGGAAUUACUGGGCGUAAAGCGCGCGCAGGCGGCUAUCCAAGUCAGUGGUGAAAGCCCGGAGCUCAACUCCGGAACUGCCAUUGAAACUGUUUAGCUUGAGGACGAGAGAGGUGAGUGGAAUUCCCAGUGUAGAGGUGAAAUUCGUAGAUAUUGGGAAGAACACCGGUGACGAAGGCGGCUCACUGGCUCGUAUCUGACGCUCAGGCGCGACAGCGUGGGGAUCAAACAGG
RNAcentral lists this ribosomal RNA (254 nucleotides) under uncultured bacterium. RNAcentral's name for it is "partial 16S ribosomal RNA". It matches the Rfam family "Bacterial small subunit ribosomal RNA", at positions 524 to 776 of the family's 1533-position model. The record is from RNAcentral.